This 1155-nucleotide long non-coding RNA is filed under the name Neogale vison (American mink). RNAcentral describes it as "Neovison vison (American mink) lncRNA (ENSNVIG00000014545.1)". The stretch from base 321 to 400 matches the Rfam family "Small nucleolar RNA SNORD74". Lineage: Eukaryota; Metazoa; Chordata; Mammalia; Carnivora; Mustelidae. The record is from RNAcentral.
GCGCUGGCGGGGAGGGUGCGUCAUGACGUCAUGAAAACCCAUCCUUAUAUACUAGCGCUGGGACGCCAUCUCGGUCUUUCGAGGUUGGCAGUUGGCGUAUUGCUUGUAAGUGUCAUUUUAGCUUAAUGGUUUCUUCGCUCCAGGCCUCCAGCCCUUGGCAGUUCAAGUCACCUUAUGCGUACAUGUAUUUCUCGGCCGGUCGCGAUCCUUUGCAGGGUUCACAAAAUGAAGAUGGUAGACGAUUACGCCUUGGGUGCGGCCGGGGCCUAAACUGCUACUCGGGUUGUGGGGGCUGAACUGCGAGAAACCCCUGGGCUCGCGUUCCCUGCCUGUGAUGAAGUCUGCGUUGGUAGGGACAUCUGAGACUGUUGAUGAAUGCCAACGGCUCUGAUGGCGGCGCAUGCCGAGUCACCCGAGUGGGCCUUUGUUAAUGACCUGGGCCUGGGCCGCCUCCGGCCUCUUGUUGAGGAAGGCCGGCGGAUAGGGUAGUCCACGUGGUGCCCAUCGGCUGCCUUCCGCGGUGCACCGUUACUUACCUCGUGGCGCCCCACCGUGUGCCGUGCGCUUUUUCUAACCUGUGAAGUGCACCCUUAAAGUCAUGAAAUUGUGGCUGGUGUAAACGACCUGGUAUAGAUGGUAGGAAAGACAUGUUUAGACUUAGUAGAACAAAGUGGUGUCUUAAAGAUCCUGAUCUUUAACCUAGGAAUGGUGCCGGACAUGAAUGCAGUGUGGCUUUUGAUGGCUUCUGAUGGACAGUUUCGUGCUGAAGGGGCGGAAGUGGCUGGCAAGAUCCUGAAGUUAAACACCCUGGCUAUGGGCAGGCAGGUGAGAAACCUUUCAUAUACUCCAUAUUUACUCAGUACUUUUCUUUUUUUUUUUUUUUAAAACAAAUGUUAACUUCUAUACUCUGGUAUCUUAAGUGCUUGUGGAACCUGCAAAACAGAUACUAUGAUGGUUGCAUAGUUCAGCAGAUUGGAUCAUGAAGAGAGACACCAUUUGUCUGAUGUAUCUGAGUUGAUAGUAAAAUUGGUUUGGUAUAACAGCAUAAGCAAAAUGUCACUAACUUUAUCCUUUUCUGUAGGCAUUACACAGAAUUAGCUGGAAGUUGGAGGGGUGAGUACAAUUUACGUUGAAAUAAACAUUGGUAACUGGGCA